GGGGUAAUUUGGGACAUGGGCGAAAGCCUGAUCCAGCCAUGCCGCGUGAGUGAAGAAGGCCCUAGGGUUGUAAAGCUCUUUCAGCAGGGAAGAUAAUGACGGGACCCAGACAAGAAGCCCCGGCUAACUCCGUGCCAGCAGCGCGGGUUAUACGGCGGGGGCUAGCGUUGUUCGGAAUUACUGGGCGUAAAGCGCACGUAUGCGGCCUGAAAAGUUAGGGGUGAAAUCCCUAGGCUUAACCCGGGAACUGCCUCAAAACUGAAAGCCUGGAAUCCGUUAGAGGUGAGUGGAAUUCCCAGGGUAGAGGUGAAAUUCGUAUAUAUUGGGAAGAACACCAAUGGCUAAAGCGGAUCACUGGCUCGGUACUGACGCUGAGGUGCUAAAGCGUACGGUGCAA
This 397-nucleotide ribosomal RNA is filed under the name uncultured Alphaproteobacteria bacterium. RNAcentral describes it as "bacterial SSU rRNA". It matches the Rfam family "Bacterial small subunit ribosomal RNA", at positions 356 to 771 of the family's 1533-position model. The record is from RNAcentral. Lineage: Bacteria; Pseudomonadati; Pseudomonadota; Alphaproteobacteria.